GUUGGGCAUAGUGGCGGGCGCCUGUAAUCCCAACUACUCGGGAGGCUGAGGCAGGAGAAUCGCUUGAACCCAGGAGGCAGAGGUUGCAGUGAGCCUAGAUGGUGCCACUGCACUCCAGCCUGGGCAACAGAGUGAGACCCUGUCUCUC
Molecule: non-coding RNA, 148 nt
Filed under: Nomascus leucogenys (northern white-cheeked gibbon)
Lineage: Eukaryota; Metazoa; Chordata; Mammalia; Primates; Hylobatidae
Source: Rfam by way of RNAcentral